This 219-nucleotide long non-coding RNA is filed under the name Mytilus galloprovincialis (Mediterranean mussel). The record is from RNAcentral. Lineage: Eukaryota; Metazoa; Mollusca; Bivalvia; Mytilida; Mytilidae.
GCUUUUCAUAUGUUCUUAGACUUUCAAAACUAUCGGUUAUGGUCAAAGUCAAUGAAGGUUCUGCUAGUAUCUUGUGCAUUGUGGACAGUACUUAAAUACGUAUCGUUACCAGUAAGGUGUACGUACUGACGGUGGACUGUUAGUAUCCACGCAUACAAUUCACCCAGCAGUCAGAAGUUCAAUACUGAGAAAUUCCAUGUUUAUUAGUAUAUCUUUACC